This 1228-nucleotide ribosomal RNA is filed under the name Teredo sp. TBF07. RNAcentral describes it as "16S ribosomal RNA". It matches the Rfam family "Bacterial large subunit ribosomal RNA", at positions 575 to 2724 of the family's 2925-position model. The record is from RNAcentral. Lineage: Eukaryota; Metazoa; Mollusca; Bivalvia; Myida; Teredinidae.
AUGAGAUCUUUCUUCGGUUGUAGCGUGAGCGAAAGGUUUACUUUGAGGUCUUAUGUUAGUAAUGAGAGGAGCGGAAGUUAUGGAAGAAUAGGUUGAAUUUGGUACUUUUUGUAUCAUGGGUCAUAGAGGGUAUUUCUGGGUUGUUGUUCCUGAAAGGCUUGGAGCUAUCCCCUUUAUUUGUUUAAGUGCUCGUGAUGUUGCAGUAUCAUGAGUAAAGGGGGGAUUGAGGUGACAUGUUUGUCGAAAAGCCUGAUAGCUGGUUGACUGGGAAAUGCAUACAAGUGCAGCAGGGUUUUUGAGGCUUGUUACUAUAGGUUACAGGGUUAUAGGACUUUAGUGAGGCCCAAAGGGUUAAUCUUUUGGGUUUUUUGGUCGUUUUAUCGUGAAGUGGGGUUAAUGGUGCCCGUCUUAUGUUGAAGGUUUGUUCAAAGCUUCUUACUGGGGGUUUUCGAUUUUUACCGGUCUCUGUGCUGGAACUGUUGGUUUUUGAAUUAGUAUGACAUUAGUAAGUGUGAGGUGUAUUGGUUUUGAUGUUUUUUGGAAGCAAGCUUGGUUUAUUCUUGUAGGUUUUUUGGAGUAAUGUGUGAAAAGUAGGCUUAAGGAACUCGGCAAAUGGUUUCCUCGCCUGUUUAUUAAAAACAUCGCUCCCAGUUUUAAAGUGUUGGGAGUCGUGCCUGCCCGGUGGAUUAUAAAUUUCUAAACGGUUGCUGUUGGUAGCAGUACGAAGGUAGCGCAAUCACUAGUCCUUUAAUUGAGGAACGGAAUGAAUGGUGUGACGUGGGAAAGUCUGUCUCAAGCCUAAAAGCUGAAUUUUACCUUUGCGUGAGAAGGCGUAAAUGGUUUCAUUAGACGAGAAGACCCCAUCGAGCUUGAUGAGGCUUACCCCUUAGGGGUUAAGCUAAAGUUUAGUUGGGGUGACUGGGUGCAAGUUGAACGUACUUGAAGUUUUGUUUAUGUUGACCCUUCAUUGAAGGUCUGGAGAAAAAGCUACCGUGGGGAUAACAGCGUAAUGCUCUUGGAGAGAUCUUAUUGAAGAGAGAUGUUGCGACCUCGAUGUUGAAUUAAAGUGUUAUCCUGGCGCAGCAGUUAGGAUUGUGGGACUGUUCGUCCCUUGAAAUUUUACAUGAUUUGAGUUUAGACCGGCGUGAGCUAGGUCGGAUUCUAUCUUUGUUUUCUACCUUUCUUGUACGAAAGGAUCGAAAGGUUGGCCUAGGUUGGUUUGGGUUAA